AUUAAUGAUGAGAAGUCAAAGCUAUUGAUACAAGAAAAAACAAAUAGAUCAAGAAAACCCAACUUCUUCCCCUGGUUAGUAUCCCCUUCAGUGUGCUUAUUUACAUUCCGUUGGCUACUCAAAAUGGUGUGGAUGUUUUCAGCUAUCAGUCACGCUUGAAGAAGAUGGUUUGUUUUUGUAUGUUGACUUGCUUGCUUGACGGUGUGGCUGUUUUGAUUUUUUCAACUAUCCUGAUUAUGUGAUUAUCUUUUUUAAUUUUUUUUCCAACCCAAUAAUGUGGCUGCUUUUUAUUAUUAUUAAACUAGCCUUUCAAUGUGCUUGGUUUCUUUUUCAAAAUUUGGCCAAUUAGCAUGACUGUCUGGCUUCUUUUAACUAUUUGACUAGCCAGAUGGUGUGGUUGUGCUAUUUGUUCUAUCAGCUGGACAAAUCUUUCUGCUUUUAUUUGUUCAGUCAACUCGACUGAUGCGUUUUUUUUCCUUUCGGCAAGACAUUUUGACUGUUUUAACACUGAUUUGUGUAUGGUGUUUAAUAUUAUGGUCAACCCUUUGACAAUUGUAUCUUCUCUGUCCGUUUGACUUUGAUAUGCAUCAAGGUGGUUCAUUGAUAAUUUUCCGAGACCCAUUGUGGUGCAAAAGGUGUUCCUCAUGUUCAGCAUCAUUUAUCUGUUUUAGUUUACUUUCUGUGCCAACAGACAUCAAAAUAAUUAUCAGAAGGGACAUCAAGUAGCCUUUUGUCAGUGCCCAACAGUAAUAUGCUCUCUCUCUCUCUCUCUCUCUCUCUCUCUCUNNNNNNNNNNNNNNNNNNNNCGUCUCUCUCUCUCUCUCUCUCUCUCUCUCUCUCUCUCUCUCACACACACACACACACACACACACACACACACACAUACACACACACACACUUUCUACCUCUCUCCUUCACUCUAACUCUCUCUCUCUCUUUUUCUUUUUAUGCAGCCAGACCAAGAUGCCUCCAAGUUCCUGAGGUAAAAACAUCUUAUUUAUUAACGAAUUAAAAUAUAAUUUAAUCAACACAAGUUAAUUAUGUGAUAUUGAGAUGAAAAUAAGAUUGAAAGGAAGAUUGAAUUAGUAUAAGGUUGUCUUAAUUGAUAAAAAAUAAUCAAGUAUUAUUUAAUGUUGAUGGAG
RNAcentral lists this long non-coding RNA (1142 nucleotides) under Spirodela polyrhiza (greater duckweed). RNAcentral describes it as "long non-coding RNA (SPOL_LNC002030)". Lineage: Eukaryota; Viridiplantae; Streptophyta; Magnoliopsida; Alismatales; Araceae. The record is from RNAcentral.